AGUACUGGCGUCAUUUCUGAAAAGAGCAGUAGUCCUCGGGGCAGAGGCAGGGACAGGGGCAGGGACAGGUGCGGGCUGCGGGAGGGACCCGGAGCCCACAGAGGUAAUUCCACUCUGCGCCUCAAUUAUUCAUCGCGCUGGGGCUGUCUCUGCGUGGUCACCUGCGCGCUGCAGAGUCCCCCAGCGCUCCGGGGACUGCUCGGGGGCUGCUGGGGGGCCUCUGGGAGGCCUGUCGCUCGAGGGGAGGCCGGAUCAAGGAGAGUCACGCGGCUCCCUGGGGAGAAGGGGCGCCGGGCCCGCACAGACCCGAGAGCGGCCAUGAGCUGGUGUCCAGCCGCCCAGGAGGGGGGCUGCAAGGCCCAGAGAUCUGGACACAGGCCAAGAAGUCAAGAACUGUUGAAGCCGCAGUCUCCACUCUCCUACUGACACCAGAGACCACCCAGCCCAGCCAAACCAUAUGGCCUCUUGUUUUCCUGACGUAUGAGCCAACACCACCUCCAAACAUCUACCCUUCUCCUAAUUCAGCCCAAAGCAACACAAAGAGCCACUCCUGCUUUCCAUUCCCAGUUGCGUUCUCCAGCCUGUGGUUUCCGGUCUGAGCUGCUCCCAAGAUGACGGACACCGGAAGUGCCUUCACAGCAGGUGGGCAGCCAUCUCCACCUGUGGCACUAGGGCCGCCUCCUGCUCAACCAAAGAGAGUCAGAACCUAGCACAAUACACACCGCAGCCAUGCCCAGGGCCAGGUGGAGACAGGAUAAUAAUUUGACACUGUUUAAACUAUUGGUUUUUAUAUAUUCUUUCAAUAUUUACCUAGAGGAAAGGCUGAGUACUCUAAAUAAAUAAAGGAAAGGCCCAGCAGGAAGAAAGGGCCAGCGGGGAGCAGCCUCCGUGGCUUCUUUACCUCCAGAGAAUUCAUUUUUUGCCUCAAACUUGCAGCCUCCUCUCAGCAAAACAAAAGCCCCACAAUUAAGGAUGCCUACCAACCCACAGGACAAUGUCCUGAAGCCAGCCCCUCGAGGCAUAACCCCUUACUUACUCCAGAACCUUCCAUCUCCCACACUGCUUCCCCCAAGGGGAGUGCUAAAAAGACCAUUGUCUCUCCAACUUGUGACUGUUUUCAGUGAUGUUGGAGACAUUCAGCUGGCCCACCCUGGCUAACAGAAACCUUGGUGGUUUCUUCCCAAGAGCAAUGGCCUCAGUGCUGCGGUGUCCUUGUAGAGGGUGGCUCUGUGCUUGCUUGCCCUCUGCCCACUACUCCUGGCUCUCCGGGGCCCCCCAACGCAUCUGUCAGAUAGGCCAUGACACAGAAGGACUGCGUGCUCUAUGGGUCUUUAUAAGCUUAAUUCCGGCUUCCUACCCUAAUGCUCUUUUCAAAUCCCCUUGGUCAUCUCUCCCAGCCUUACAGUGCUGUUAAUGAUGCCCGAUAGGAUUGUGAAGGAUUUCCACCUGUCCUUAAACUUCACCCUCUGCUUCCUUCAUCAUUUCCAUGAAGGCAACUUGAGCUGCCUGGAAAGUAGCUUUUUGACACUUGGCAUAAUAUUCUUCCUUGGUCUCUUUAGGGUGAGUCUAGAACAAUCACUCAAACACCUUUUACCCAUAACUGUGAGUCAAAACUGUUCCCUAGAACAUGAAAUGAGUGGCAGAAAGGAAGAUCACAGUGGAAUAAACAGUGCAUUUUGCAGAACACAACUCAGGACAGCACUGAGAAUACUCUUCGGCCAAGAGCAUUUGUAAUAUAGUGUAAUGUGCUAAGGACUCCAAAGACAAUCUCCUUCCCCAGCUCUCCCUGGCUGAGAGCACAGAGUGUGAUAUGUAUGUGUGUGUGCAUGUAUACACAUAUAUGUGUGUAUAUUUUUAUUUAUGUGUAUAUAUGUGGUAAUUAUAUACAACUUUUAAGAAAGGUAUUUCUGAGACCAAUGGUAUCAUAGUGAAUCAGCACUGUGCAGGGUGGAAUUAAACAGGAAAUGUGUGUGUCCCGUUUGUAAAUGUUAACAGUGCUACUGGUUCCCAAGACACAAGACACUCCCUCUACUUAUGAACCAGGGCCAGGCAACCUUUUUCUUUUUUUGAGAUGGAGUCUCACUCUGUCACCCAAGCUGGAGUGCAGUGGCACAAUCUCAGCUCAUUGCAACCUCUGCCUCCUGGUUUCAAGUGAUUCUCCCGCCUCAGCCUCCCAAGUAGCUGGGAUUACACGUGCGUGCCACCACACCCAACUAAUUUUUGUAUUUUUAGUAGAGACGGGACUCCACCACAUUGGCCAGGCUGGUCUCGAACUUCUGACCUUAGGUGAUCCACCCACCUUGGCCUUUCGAAGUGCUGGGAUUACAGGUGUGAGCCACCACGUCCGGUCAACCUUUUUUUAUUGAAGUAACCAAACCCAAUUUCCUUCCCUCUCAUUCCAUUUUCACAUAGUAAUUAAACACUCAAGCGGUUGUCUCUGGGCUUUCUCACCUGGUGAUGGCCACAAUCCCUGGAAGCCUUGGGUCCUCUGCCACAUGUUCCUCUGGGUUUUAUGGGGUCCCCAAGGCUCAUCACUAAAAGAUAUACACAGCCAUGGGUUGAGAGAACACUGGGAGUUGUGUGUUUUUUCCUUGUUGAUGUCCCUUGAGCUUAAGGGCAACUACUAUUUUGUGCAGCCGCUUGUGUCAGGUUGUGUCUUUGGCUGACUGAUAUUUGCUGCCAUUUCCUGUAGUGCUUUUUUUUUUUAAAGAGGGAGCAUCUCAUUCUGUUGCCCAGGCUGGAGUGCAGUGGUGUGAUCAUAGCUUACUGCAGCCUCGAGCUCCUGGGCUCAAGCAGCCCUUCUGCCUCAGCCUCCUGAGUAGCUAGAACUACAGGUACACACCACCAUGCUCAGGUAAUUUUUUAUUUUUAUUUUUUUAGAGACAGGGUCUUGCUAUGUUGCCCAGGCUGGUCUCAAACUCCUGGACUCAAGGAAUCCUUCUGCCUUGGCCUCCCAAAACACUGGGAUUAUAGGUGUGAAGCACUGCACCUGGCCUCUUGUAACUCUUGAUACUCUGCAAUAGAUACCUUGCUCCAUAUUAAAUUGAUACAAUUUUGCUUUUUAAAAAGUCAGACCACAUACAAGUGUGUGAAGUUAAAAAUGAAAGUCCUCCCCGACCUUGACCCUUGGCUCCACCCCCCAGAGGUGAUCGCUGUGAACGGCUUUUUGUGCAGCCCUCAGAAGGUCUCUCUGCAUGACAGAAAUGCAUUUGUUCUUUUUUUUUUUUUUUUUUUUUUGAGACGGAGUCUUGGUCUUUCACCCAGGCUGCAGUGAAGUGGCCCGAUCUCGGCUCACUGCAACCUCCGCCCCCCCGGUUCAAACGAUUCUCCUGCCUCAGCCUCCCAAAUAGCUGGGAUUACAGACAUCCAUCACCACACCCAGCUAAUUUUUGUAUUUUUAGUACAGAUGGGGUUUUGCCAUGCUGGUCAGGCUGGUCUUGAACUUCUGACCUCAGGUGAUCCACCUGCCUUGGCCUCCCAAAAUGCUGGGAUUACAGGCAUGAGCCACCGUACCUGACUGCAUUUGUUCUUGUUUACACAAAUAGGAUCAUGCUGUACACACUGCACUUCAACUUGCUUCCUUCACUUAACAUUGUGUCUUGGAACUCUUUGCAUAUUAGUAACUGCAGAAGCAUUUAAUCUUUUAAUGGUGCAUACUAAUCUGUGUGGAUGUACCGUAGUUAUGUAACUAAUCUCUUAUAAAGGACAUUCACAUUUUAUCCAGUUUUAUUCUCUCAGAAAGAGCCAGAGAGUAUUGAAUCCUGUAUUAUUUAUGUCUUUGCUUACUUUAGGAGUAUAACUGGGGGAUGAAUUUCUAGCAGAGAAAUAGCUGAGUUGAAGAGUAUUCACAGUUUACAUUUUAUAGAUAUUACCAAAUGGCUAUCCAAAAAAGACACUGACAGUAUGCUAGUGUAACAGGGCAUUUUUCAGAGAAGACAAAAGCCAGCUCACAGUUACCCAUAAAUGGAAGUCCACAGUGCCUUACGCCUCCCCUCCAUCCAAGCCGGCUGGCUUUGGGUGGAUCAAACCAGGAAGGGGUUAAAAAUGGACCUCUCUGUGUGUUUCUCUUCUGAACCUAAAUAUGUCAGACUUGGGCAAUCCUGAGUGGUUUUGCAUUUUCUUUUCACUGUAACCACCUGAGAUCCUCUUGUCCCAAAGUCAGUGCUAGGUUGAUUGUCUACAUUGGGCAGGCGAACUGCUGGGAGUGGCAAUGGUGGAAUCUCUGAGCCUUUGCAGAAAUGUUAGGUUCUGGUGAGCUGCUGACUGUGGGUUCACAGGCUGGGACUCCCCGAGGUGUUCUGUUCUUAGGAUUUCUUUUUAGCUCUCCAGUCAUCCUGUCCUUUAUCAUCUAAGUGCUCCUGUUCUUCAGCCCUUUCUUAGCUGUUUGGUCUACUAGAACAUUAUUCAGGAGUAUGAUGGCUUCAUCGUCCUGGAAUUGCCUCCUCCAGCAGCUUGGGGUGGGCUGUCUGCAGUGCUUCAAAAGCUAUCUGGGCUGAAGGGCUAUUUUUUUAAAAAUUCCAAUCUAUUAUGGACCAAUACUUUUGUAAAAUACUAAAAGAAUUGAAUUACUGGAAAAAUGAAAUAUGAAACAAAGACAUAUGAAAUACAA
This is an RNA transcript of Pan troglodytes (chimpanzee), 4609 nucleotides long. It is a transcript of the gene named claudin 14, with no coding region annotated. Lineage: Eukaryota; Metazoa; Chordata; Mammalia; Primates; Hominidae. The record is from RefSeq and is a predicted model, not a curated record. The transcript has 3 exons.